Molecule: long non-coding RNA, 1686 nt
Organism: Sorghum bicolor (sorghum)
Lineage: Eukaryota; Viridiplantae; Streptophyta; Magnoliopsida; Poales; Poaceae
Exons: 6
Source: RefSeq, a predicted model, not a curated record
CCUUUCCGUCAGCAGACCCGCGAUCCCCUUCCCCUUUCCACCGUGAGCACAAACCGAAGACCCCUGAUCCCCUUCGCUCUGAUCCCCUUCUCCUGGUUCCGUGAUCCGCACCGCCUCGCCUGCCGCCGUGAUCCGCAUCGGCACCACCUCGCCUGGCUCCGUCAUCCGCAUCGGCACCGCCUCGCCUGUCCCCGUCCACCCGCGUCGGCGAGGCCGAGCACGAGCAGCCGGACGCCCUCGCCCACAUCCUCCGCACCGAGGCCGCCGUCUCGGGCGUCUCCCGCAAGGCCGCGGCCGCGCGGCAGCAGUCCACAAACCUCUGGCCCCGCGUCGUCCUCGAGGCCCUCGACUCCACCGUCGCCGCAUGCCGCUGGGAGUCCGCCCUGGAGAUCUUCGAGCUGCUGCGGAAGCAGCACUGGUACGAGCCGAGGUCGCAGACCUACGCGCGGCUGCUGAUGAUGCUCGGCAAGUGCCGGCAGCCCGGUCCCGCCGCCGCCCUCUUCAAGGCGAUGCUCUCGGAGCGGCUCCGGCCGACGGCGGACGUGUACACGGCGCUCGUCGGCGCGUACGGCUAUAGCGGCUUUCUGGACGAGGCGCUGGCUGCCGUCGAGCAGAUGAAAGGCGCCGCCGACUGCAAGCCGGACGGGUACACCUUCUCCGUCCUCAUCAAUUCUGCGCCAAGUCGCGCCGCUUCGAUCUGAUCCCUGCUGUUCUCGACGAGAUGUCAUACCUGGGGAUCGAGUGCAAUUCGGUUAUCCACAACGCGAUAAUUGAUGGGUACGGCAAGGCUGCCAUGUUUGAGGAGAUGGAGGGUGCGCUCUCUGCCAUGCUUGAGAGUGGGAGCAAUGUGCCAGACAUUUACACGAUGAACUCUGUCAUCGGGGCAUAUGGCAACCAUGGAAGAACAGAUGAAAUGGAGAAGAGUUACAGUGAGUUUCAGCUGAUGGGUGUUGAGCCAGAUACCAAGACGUUCAACAUCAAGUCCUACGAGAAUGUGUGCUUUAACAAAGAUGCCAGAAUAUCGUAAAAAAUACAAAACAACAGAAAUGGCUGCUGCGAUUGGUAUAUGUGAGGAUAUGAAGUACAGCUUAGCACAAUGCAGAUACUUUCUUUUACCGUGGCUAUCCUUUCGAAAAUAUAUGCUUUAUGUUUUCGACAUGCGGGAAAAAAUGCUCAUCAUGAUUAACCCUAGACCUCUUGAAGAGUGGUGUAAAGACACACCAGCGCUUAUGUAUGCCAAAUACACUCUUGGACUUAGCUACAACUACAUGGCCGCAUUUAAUAAACAUAUUCCUGGAUGAGAUGAGGAUGUUUUCAAAUGGAAAUUUAAACGGACAGAAAACAUUGCAGAUGAUAUAGAUAGGUACUUAAGUAGAUUUCUCAUCCUACAAUAUAUGUCUACAUGGAAUAGACCAAAAGCCACGCAUAUUUAUACAGAUGGUACGGAGAUGCGGCGAAAUUUAUUUGUGGAUUUACUGGCACACGAAAGAAAUAGAUAUCGGACAUAUCUUCUUGUCGAUAUAAACAUUAUCUUUGUCGUAUCACGGAAAGAUCUAUAAAGUAGAGUUUGUAAGCCUAUAACGUCGUGCUCUUCAUAACUAUGUUUGAUUUCACGAACUUUGUUUCUUUAAGUCAAAUGUAACUUUAUAGUUGGUAUUUAAGUUUUAUUAUAAUAUUGUUAUCUUA